AUGGCUGGAGAGCAAGCGUUCCACCGGGGAGGCGUGCACGGAGGCGGCAGCGCCAUCGGGCCGGACUACAUGCGGGCCAUCCGCGGCGACGACGACUACUACGGCGGGCACGGCCAGGGCUACAACCAGCCGGCGACCGUCACCCUCGCGAAGGGGGUGGCCGCGGCGGCGGCGGCCGGGUCGAUGCUGCUCCUGUCGGCCCUGACGCUGACGGGCACGGUGCUGGCGCUCAUCGUGGCGACGCCGCUGCUGGUGCUCUUCAGCCCCGUGCUGGUGCCCGCGGCCAUAGCCGUCACGAUGCUGACGGCCGGGUUCGUGUCGUCGGGGGCGUUCGGCGCGGCGGCGGUGGGCGUGCUGGCGUGGAUGUACAAGUAUCUGUCGCACGGCGCAUCCUCGCCGCCGGGGGCCGACACGGUGGACCACGCCGGUGCGAAGCUGGACUCCAAGGCGCACGAGGUGAAGAACUGGGCGCAGCAUCGCCUCGACCAGGCACGAACGCCGUAG
RNAcentral lists this ribosomal RNA (504 nucleotides) under Triticum aestivum (bread wheat). RNAcentral's name for it is "partial small subunit ribosomal RNA". The record is from RNAcentral. Lineage: Eukaryota; Viridiplantae; Streptophyta; Magnoliopsida; Poales; Poaceae.